RNAcentral lists this ribosomal RNA (405 nucleotides) under uncultured bacterium. Its description in RNAcentral is "partial 16S ribosomal RNA". It matches the Rfam family "Bacterial small subunit ribosomal RNA", at positions 28 to 526 of the family's 1533-position model. The record is from RNAcentral.
GAUGAACGCUGGCGGCGUGCCUAAUACAUGCAAGUCGAGCGAAGCGGGGACGGGUGAGUAACACGUGGAUAACCUCCUCUAAGACUGGGAUAACUUACGGAAACCGGUGCUAAACCGGAGACUCAUGUCUGGAUCCGCGCUGCAUUAGCUAGUGGGUAAGGUAACGGCUUACAAAGGCGACGAGGCAUAGCCGACCUGAGAGGGGGAUCGGCCACACUGGAACUGGGCCACGGUCCAGAGUCCUACGGGAGGGAGCAGUAGGGAAUCGUCCGCAACGGGCGAAAGCCUGACGGAGCAACGCCGCGUGAGUUAUGAAGGUCCUCGGAUCGUAAAACUCUGUUAUGAGGGAAGCGGUACCUAAUCAGAAAGCCACGGCUAACUACGUGCCAGCAGCCGCGGUAAUUC